This 253-nucleotide ribosomal RNA is filed under the name uncultured bacterium. Its description in RNAcentral is "partial 16S ribosomal RNA". It matches the Rfam family "Bacterial small subunit ribosomal RNA", at positions 524 to 776 of the family's 1533-position model. The record is from RNAcentral.
UACGGAGGGGGCAAGCGUUGUUCGGAAUUACUGGGCGUAAAGCGCGUGUAGGCGGCCCUGCAAGUCGGGUGUGAAAGCCCGAGGCUCAACCUCGGAACUGCCUUCGAUACUGCGGGGCUCGAGUCCGGGAGAGGAGAGUGGAAUUCCUGGUGUAGAGGUGAAAUUCGUAGAUAUCAGGAAGAACACCGGUGGCGAAGGCGGCUCUCUGGCCCGGUACUGACGCUGAGACGCGAAAGCGUGGGGAGCAAACAGG